Myzus persicae (green peach aphid) is the source of this 643-nucleotide long non-coding RNA. RefSeq lists it as uncharacterized. The record is from RefSeq and is a predicted model, not a curated record. NCBI's taxonomy places the organism in Eukaryota, Metazoa, Arthropoda, Insecta, Hemiptera, Aphididae. The transcript has 4 exons.
CUUGAAGCAUCAAUUCGGUCUCGGGCUGGAUCUUUACGUCCAUACAUUUGCUUCGGUUCUGCGAUAUGCGAAAUAUUUAUCUGAUAUAUAUACACAGUCAAUAUAUUAUGCAAAAAGUACUGAGAACCGUCAACUGAAUACUGUGACUGAGAUAUACGAGUUAUAAAUAUACUUCAAACACUUUUGAUGUCCAUGGCAGAGAGAUUUUAAUAAUUUUAUUUUCGCGGAAAGCUGCUGCAGAUCGAGACCACAACGUCGUACCUGCGGAGGUGUAGUAGGCCAUGCUGUUGCGGAUGCGAUACGUCCCAGGCCGUCAAAUCGAAGCGAAAUAUCGAUUAUAUAUUUCGGGCGGCGGCGGCGGUGGCGUUCGUUUUAAUUCGUCAAGGGUCAUUUGGCACCGCUCUGACUUUGAAUGCGUGCGUGUGCGUGCACCACCUAUUUGUAAGGGCCGACGUAAUAUAUACAUAUAACAACAACGAAAGUGUAUAAUACUAAUAAUAAUAAUAAUAAUAAUAAUGAUAUUCCCCCAUGACUAAUUGCCGUUUGACUUUACGGUCCGCGGAUGUGUUUAAUACGGAUAUAAUACAAUAAUAUUAUAAUAUCGUACACGCGUCGUCGUAUAUAUAUAUACACGGAGGUGCAC